UCACGAGCAUCGUAAGGGCUGUAUCGCGCACAACGAAGCGAACAAAAAACACGGUAAAUAUCGCUGCAUCCUAUCGGAACUAGAUGGAAGUGAUCGUAAAGUUGAAAUCGGAGAAACGUAAAUAAAAAUAAACCGAGAGCUAAGAGGAGCUAGGGUACUUUCCGAACGCAAUCCCAUACAUCGAGAAUCCCAUAUAUAAAUGUUAUCGAUUCGAGGAAGUGAGAAAAAGUAUCGGAUGAAAAUACUUACAAGUAUGUCGAAGGUAGGGGAGUGUUUGAAAAAUAGAGAAGUUUGCAUGAAAGUUUGGAUAAAAGAAGAGGAAGAGAAGAAGCUGGAACUUGGGAUUACGAAACCGUGAGACGGGGAACUUGGCACGAGCUCGCUAUCUCAGACGCUUACAUUCAUCGAUGACUCUGCAGGGAUUCUCUGAUCGGGAUUAGUCUGGAUUUUUUCCGGGGGCUGUUCGAUCGUGGAAAGAAGCAAAUAUAAUCGAAAUGGAAAGUAAGUCGGCGCGGUAUUCGUGUUUUCCGGGGGUUAUCGCGACGCUGCAGGAUUAAAUCGAUUAAACCAUCCUGAAUCACGGCCGAUGGAUGAGCGGAAAAAUAAAAAGCAGCGAGAUGGACGAGGAGGAGACGAGGGGAAAGCGUCCUUCGGGUGAUUCACCGGGUUUGCGGUUAGGUUACUUCAGUCUGUACGCUGGCAGACGAGUGCGGACAAGUGGUUCUCAUAGCUGAUGCGAGAUCCAGCGAUCUCCAGUGAUCUUCCAACCUCGCGCGACUCGACAUACCGUUUUUCCAUUUUGUCUGACAAUGGAUAUUUCGAUUAUCCUUUUCCUCGAAAAGCAGUCCCGUUGUAUUUUCAUCUUCCAAGUUUACUUUUAUUCUCAGCUAUCCAACGUUAGCCAUUAAGAUAUCGUAUAUUUCCCUUAGUCGUUUCCGAACAAGUUGAACUUUCGUUACCGAAUAGAAUUUUUGACCGCUCGCGACGAAGCACGGCUCGAGAAAGCACCACUCGAGAAAGCACGAGUCGAGCAAGCACGAUACUCUCGGCCACACCCUCUUUCGAAAUAUCCGUCGUUGCUGUCGAAGAUUCAAGUACGGCGCUCGAGUGAAUUAAAAACUUUACGUAAUAAUGUACGUAAUCGAGAGAUUGGAAGAAAAGGCGGUACAAAUCUUCGAACAACGUUAAACGUACGUUGGGAACUUUAACCGAACGUCGAAGCUGGAAAAUUCAUAAGAAAACUUUCACCUCGUUUUUGGAAAAAACGAAUAACGAUAACGACACCAUCUAUCCACGAUACCAUGGUACUAUAACCGCCUACCAUAAACAAAACUGUACUUCUAUUCGAUUUCGUUCGAUAUGACCCGCUUAGUGGAACAAGAAGUUAACGAUGAUAAACGUACCGUACGAGUAAUCGUUACGCAUGGCACGUCGACGCUUUUAUCGAGAAAACAGAUCCGCCGUAGGUCUCGAUUCUCGAAAGACUAGGCUCGAAACGAAGGAACGAGCCAGCACGGUUAUUCCUGAAAAUCAGUGAUAAAAGGAGCAAGGAAGAAGCGUGUUGCGAAUGGAAGACUCGACGAAGAGUCCUUUCAAGACGAAGAAACACUCGAGCCGUUUCGCUUCAGUAACCGCGGUCUUGGUUCAGCUCCUCCCGGAUUCCUUUGUUUAAUGCCUUAUUGCGAUAUUUUAACACGGUUCCGCUGUUGCCAUGCGGCUCCACGCUUAUCCUGCUCGUCGUGUGUCGCCACAGUCGACCAAGAAUCAUCGUAAGUAGCACUCCUAUACCCGCUACAGUUAUGCAAUCGAGCCGUUUUUUCCCCGGGAUUAUCUCUCCUUUUUAGGAGAAUCUUUCAGACCGAUCCUUCGCGCGAUACGAAAGAAGUUUCGAUGCUGGCUGUACGUCGAUUGAAAAUUCGUCUCAUCUUUUUCAUUGUUUCUCUUUUUUUUUUUUUUUUUUAAAUAUAUGCGUAUCUGCAUCUUUCGGUAACUUUCACGUUACCAUUCAACAGAUUUCGUUCGUUUUUCAAACUUUCGACUACGAAGAAUAUCUUAGGCGCAAGAUUUCCGGAACAAACGCAUCGUAGUGUUAAAAGUUUAAAACCCCUACUAUCGACUUACUUCCACGGAGAGAAGAUUUAAUAACACUGUUAACAACGUAGGCGAGGCUGAGAGUAAAGUCGAGGUGAACAAGAGGCUCCUCCAAGCAGCGUAAAUAAUAGUUUGCAAGAACCGCGGAUAUCCGGCGGAUGCCGCAUGCGUACAUUUACUCCGACCCAUGUUGGACAUUACACACGGAUCAACUACUUUUCCUACAGAGUUUCCGAAUUCCUCUCUUAUCGACCUUUCUUUCUUUCAAAUUAUACUUUAAACGUAUCUGAAACUUGUUUCGGAAGAUCUACACUGUCUACGGUCUAUGCCACGGCGUAGUAAACACGACGAUCUUCAGCUAUUAUAUCAUUAAAUAUAAAUCGCAUUGAAUGAAAAAUCGUGCUAUUAUAAAAUCAUAGAAAAUUAAAGAAAUCCUUCGUUCCUCUAUCGUUUCCGCGAAUCUAACGAACGAAUUUAUACGAACGAAGGAAAAAUGCUAGAAACUAAGAUCGCCAACAUCCUACGUAUCAUGUGUACACGAAAGCCGUAUAAAACCGAGGAAACCUAUCGCGUACAAUAUAAAUGACACGGAGACGCGAUCGAUGAUCCUUCGCAUAGAACGAAAUUUUUGUUAUUGCUUGCUAGAACUUUACUACGAAAUGUCACUUAUGCGAGCGUCGUUAUAACGUAACUGUGAAAGUAUACGGGGAAACGAGUAAUGUAACGCGCGAAUUCAACAAAAUGCAUAGAAAACAGCUGGCAGAUUUGGUCGAGCGAGUCCUCCUCCGCUCAGACUCGCGUGGAUGCUUUAAUAUCCGCGUAAUGGAAACAAGAAAAACAGGAUCCGAGUGACACCGACGUCUAAAGUGCAGCUGCAAGUGGAUGAGCGUGCAGUGAAUUCCGAGUGCGUCUAAUUAAAAGUCAUCUGCAUAUUUAUGGAAGGGGAAGGGGAAACGGAGAGAAAGGGCUGGCGAUGGAUUAACGUAGGGAAAGCGGGGAAGCAGAGAAGCCGCUGAUGCCGCUCCGCUCUGCUUUUGCUACCGCUGCUUCUGUGGCUCCUGGUAUAUUAAAAAAUAAACGACGUAACAAAGAAGCGGAAGAAACAAAGGUAACGACAAAGAGAGGAGAGGCAAUCAACGCGGAUAGAAUCGAAAAGAGUUCUGUUAACGCGCCGCCGUCUAAGUACCGCGCGGCGCAACAGCGAUAAUUGCACGGUUCGUGACCAACAAGUAUGUUUUCACAGACGACUGUACCGGAGUCUCGCGGAGAAAAGAGAUUUCCGGGCUCCUUUCGAUGAACGGCCAACAUUCUCAUGGUGGACAGAAACGCGUGUCCAGGUAAUUACGGUGAUUAAACGAGGGGAAAGACCGACAUCUCGGCGAAAACCGCUUGCAUUUAUUCGCGCAAGGAAAUGACGUCAAAAGGAAGUGUUUCGAUACAAUCGUCCUACCUAUUGCAACCAACCAAACGCCAUAACGGUACUACAAAAAUACGUUUUCGUUGCGAUAGUGGUUCCACUCGCAGGAAACAUAACGAAACGUUUCGUUCUUACCACAUACGUGUCAUCGAUUAGAUGAAAAAACUAAUUUAAUAUUAGUAAGUAUGCGUUUGAUCUUGAUCGCUUCUAGCACGCUUGA
This is a long non-coding RNA of Bombus pyrosoma, 3728 nucleotides long. RefSeq lists it as uncharacterized. The record is from RefSeq and is a predicted model, not a curated record. The transcript has 3 exons. Lineage: Eukaryota; Metazoa; Arthropoda; Insecta; Hymenoptera; Apidae.